UGCGGAAGGAUCAUUAGCGCGCAGGCCGGAGGCUGGCCCCCCACGAUAGGGCCAAACGUCCGUCAGGGGUGAGCAGAUGUGCGCCGGCCGUACCGCCCCAUUCUUGUCUACAUUACUCGGUUGCCUCGGCGGGCCGCGCUCUCCCAGGAGAGCCGUUCGGCGAGCCUCUCUUUAGUGGCUAAACGCUGGACCGCGCCCGCCGGAGGACAGACGCAAAAAAAUUCUUUCAGAAGAGCUGUCAGUCUGAGCGUUAGCAAGCAAAAAUCAGUUAAAACUUUCAACAACGGAUCUCUUGGUUCCGGCAUCGAUGAAGAACGCAGCGAAAUGCGAUAAGUAAUGUGAAUUGCAGAAUUCCGUGAAUCAUCGAAUCUUUGAACGCACAUUGCGCCCCCUGGCAUUCCGGGGGGCAUGCCUGUUCGAGCGUCAUUUCAGCCCCUCAAGCCCGGCUUGUGUGAUGGACGACCGUCCGGCGCCCCCGUCUUUGGGGGUGCGGGACGCGCCCGAAAAGCAGUGGCCAGGCCGCGAUUCCGGCUUCCUAGGCGAAUGGGCAACAAACCAGCGCCUCCAGGACCGGCCGCCCUGGCCUCAAAAUCUGUUUUAUACUUAUCAGGUUGACCUCGGAU
RNAcentral lists this unclassified non-coding RNA (623 nucleotides) under Trichophyton interdigitale. Its description in RNAcentral is "sequence contains ITS1, 5.8S rRNA gene, ITS2". The stretch from base 273 to 426 matches the Rfam family "5.8S ribosomal RNA". The record is from RNAcentral. Lineage: Eukaryota; Fungi; Ascomycota; Eurotiomycetes; Onygenales; Arthrodermataceae.